CAGUCGCCGCGGUAAUACGGAGGGUGCAAGCGUUGUCCGGAUUUAUUGGGUUUAAAGGGUGCGCAGGCGGGGUGGUCAGUCCGCGGUGAAAGACGAUCGCUCAACGAUUGCAGUGCCGUGGAUACUGCCCUUCUUGAAUCUGGUUGAGGCCGGUGGAAUUGACCGUGUAGCGGUGAAAUGCAUAGAUAUGGUCAAGAACUCCAAUUGCGAAGGCAGCCGGCUGGGCCAGCAUUGACGCUCAGGCACGAGAGUGCGGGGAUCAAACAGGAUUAGAUACCCGGGUAGUCCCUGUCUCUUAUAC
This 301-nucleotide ribosomal RNA is filed under the name uncultured bacterium. Its description in RNAcentral is "partial 16S ribosomal RNA". It matches the Rfam family "Bacterial small subunit ribosomal RNA", at positions 509 to 807 of the family's 1533-position model. The record is from RNAcentral.